Long non-coding RNA from Gymnogyps californianus (California condor), 212 nucleotides. RefSeq lists it as uncharacterized. The transcript has 3 exons. The record is from RefSeq and is a predicted model, not a curated record. Lineage: Eukaryota; Metazoa; Chordata; Aves; Accipitriformes; Cathartidae.
ACACAAAUACAGUCUUCAGGAUGAAUAUAAUCAAUUUUCACAGAGCAGGCAAUUGUCCUGUCAAAAAGGAUCCAUCUGGGCAAGAAAUUAAAUCAGACAACAGUCAGGAUGGCCUAUCCAAGCUAUCUGUACGUGCCCAGCUUGGCGCUGCAUCACAGAAAUUGUUGAAGAAAAGAAAAAGUAUUCCCGAUGAAUUACUAAUUGACAUCCUA